This 468-nucleotide ribosomal RNA is filed under the name uncultured bacterium. RNAcentral's name for it is "partial 16S ribosomal RNA". It matches the Rfam family "Bacterial small subunit ribosomal RNA", at positions 28 to 507 of the family's 1533-position model. The record is from RNAcentral.
GACGAACGCUGGCGGCGUGCUUAACACAUGCAAGUCGAACGGAAAGGCCCUGCUUUUGUGGGGUGCUCGAGUGGCGAACGGGUGAGUAACACGUGAGUAACCUGCCCUUGACUUUGGGAUAACUUCAGGAAACUGGGGCUAAUACCGGAUAGGAUCUCCUGCUGCAUGGUGUGGGUUGGAAAGUUUCGGCUGUUGGGGAUGGACUCGCGGGUUAUCAGCUUGUUGGUGGGGUAGUGGCUUACCAAGGCUUUGACGGGUAGCCGGCCUGAGAGGGUGACCGGGCACAUUGGGACUGAGAUACGGACCAGAAUCCUACGGGAGGCAGCAGUGGGGAAUAUUGCACAAUGGGCGGAAGCCUGAUGCAGCAACGCCGCGUGCGGGAUGACGGCCUUCGGGUUGUAAACCGCUUUCGCCUGUGACGAAGCGUGAGUGACGGUAAUGGGUAAAGAAGCACCGGCUAACUACGUG